Molecule: long non-coding RNA, 1094 nt
Filed under: Anser brachyrhynchus (Pink-footed goose)
Lineage: Eukaryota; Metazoa; Chordata; Aves; Anseriformes; Anatidae
Description: lncRNA (ENSABRG00000008973.1)
Source: RNAcentral
CUGGAGGAGCAGCUGGAGCCUGACGGGGGAGUGGGGAGUGCUGGGGCUGGGGCUGCCCUGGGCACGGGACACGGCCGGGAUGGCUGAAAGGAACGGGGAUCAAGGUGGGGACAGGGAGCGAGCUGCGGGGCUGCCCCGCUCUGCACUGAUGCUUCUGGGACAGGGACAUCCUCCACCCGUCUCCAUUCACUUCCACUUUGUUUUGGUGACACAGUGCAGAGAGCUGCACAAGUGUCUGUCCUUACUGCGCCACGUGCAUGAGCCUUGCACAAAGCUCGUUUUUGUUCCAUGUUAGUCCAGUCCCUCCCAAACUUGGAGGAAGGUGCUCUGUUUCCACUCACUUCAGAAAAAUAGUUGAGGGUCUAGCUAUGGGAGUAGCCAUGGAAUGAGAAGCACUGCCUUCUGAUCACACAUUGACUUUUUUUUUUUCUUUUCUAUUGAAUAAAGGUGCAAAGCUAGGUAAGUCUGCAUUCAUAAACCCAAAGUCUUCCCAUCUUCGGAUGAGUUCUCCCUUCUUAUCCUGCUUUGCUUUUGCUUUCCUUUUCCAGCGGAACAAGCUGCAGAGCAGGGUGAGUGUCCAUGUGCUUGGGCCCCAGGGCAAGGCUAAGGAGAUGUUUAGGGGAGAGUGGGCAGCUGGGACUGAGCACUUCAGGGAUUUUCUCUUUCUUUUCCAGAUGAGUACUCUGGAAAUGCUGGUAAGUUUCCAUCAAAAUCUGAAGGGAUUUGGGGUGUCGCAAUGGGAUGAGAAGCUGUUCCAUCUCAUCAUGCCAUUUUUCCUCUCAUUUGCAGCAGAGCAAUCUACAAGACUGCAGGACCUAGCUGCAGAGUUGGUGAGAAGAGAUAGAGAACUCGGUGAGUAUCCUGCACCACAGCAAAGCAGUUUAGGGUCCAGCGAUGGAAUGAGAAGCUCUCUCCUCUCACCAGGCAUUGCUUUUCUCUCCCCCUCUUUUUUUUUUUUUUUUUCUCUUCAGAGGAACAAGCAGCAGAGCUGGGUGAGUGUCCCCACACUUGGGCCCCAGGACAACACCAAGGCAAUGUGCAGGGGAGGGUGGGCAGCUGGGACAGAGCAGCCCAGAGCUGGCCCCUCAUCCUGA